UCCGGGGUAGCUUAAUUUUUAAAGCUUUAGACUUUUAAUCUGGAUAUAGGAUUUUUCCUCCCCGGAU
RNAcentral lists this transfer RNA (67 nucleotides) under Parantropora penelope. Its description in RNAcentral is "tRNA-Lys". It matches the Rfam family "tRNA". From Rfam's summary of the family: Transfer RNA (tRNA) molecules are approximately 80 nucleotides in length. The record is from RNAcentral. Lineage: Eukaryota; Metazoa; Bryozoa; Gymnolaemata; Cheilostomatida; Antroporidae.